GGAGGGAGCGGAGCGGUUCCUGUGGGCUGUCAGUCCCGGCCUCUCUGUCCCCUUCCCCAACCACGGGCCCGCCGCCAUCGCUCCCGGGCCUCCCCAGCAGCCGCCACCAGCCAGGGGAGCUGUGGUUCUUUUCAGUGAAUAUAUUGCGCAAGGAAGGAGAAUUAAUCAGCAGUAGAGAGAGCAGUGUCCUUUAGUUAUGGAUAUCCUGGAACUAACGAGCUUCAAGGAUGCAGUAAAUCAAGAUAUGAAUGUGUGUCUCAUACAUAAGUUGCUGACUUGGCAAAAGACUCAGGUCCAGGUAUCCUAAAACUGAACUAUCUCCAUUAGACCCUUCCCUGGAGGAUGCACAGAAAUCAGCUGGAAUUACACAACUUGUGUGGAAAUGAUUAACCAUUCAUAAAAGAGGGGCUGUAGCUGAGAGGUUGCCAGCACUGAAUUUCUGUGUGUAAGUAACAUCAGGAGAAGUCUGGAGGGAUGUGCUGUAUUUGUGGAAUACUGUGGUACCUCCAGGCUUGUGCAACUCUGAAAUAAAUAAAUAAUCAAUGUCUCCCUCGAGUGUGUAAUUGCACCCCAGGUAAUGAAUCUGAUUUUUGCAGACAAAAGCAGCUUUGGUUAAAGCAGAUGAAACAAUCACUCCUCCAGACCAAAGACAACUCACAGCAGUGGAGAAGCUGAUUUCUUUUUAAAACAUGUAUAUUUAGAACUGUAACGCUUACAAUUUCAUUAAACAAUCUUAGUACAAUGUGUUUAAUCUAACAGUAUUUUACAGAACAAUGUGAAAAAUGAUUUAAUAGCAAACCAUGAAAAUGGAAUUAAUAAUACCUGCAGUGUCAAAGUCACUAACUUGUUACCUUUUCCAGUCAAAGAAUCCCAGCAGUCAUUCGCACUAAAUGAUGCUUUGGGUUUUAUCCAGAAUCAAAUGGUAUGAUUUCCACAGAGAAAGGGCAUUCCUUCACAGAAAGAAGAUGCAUAAUAAGAACAUUUUCAGCUAGCAGGUCUACUUUAUACAUCUAUUUAGAAUUUUAAAAUUAAAAAUAAAAUUAAAAAUGUUUAGACCAGUGCAGGGUGCCUAUUAAUUUUUCAACUUAUUUGUGGUUCUUUUUGAAAAGAGGGUUUGUUUUUUAUUUCCCUUGUGUAAUUUAGCAGAGGAAAAGAAAAUAACAACAAUGGAUUUGUCUAAUGAACAGCUCCUCACUUUAGUUUUGGUGACAAGCGUUUGACAUGGGACUGUUUCCUCUGUGGAGUCUGUUGACAAUGCAUCAUUAUAGAUCUGCAAGUAGAAAAGGUCAUUCUCACAUUAAAUGCACAAGUUUCAAUAUCAGAAGCAGGACAUCAGAAGAAGUUGUAAUUUUUCCAGUCACAGGUGAAUUUGCAACAUUCACAAAAAUUACACUUUUUUUUUUUUUACAUUUUUUGUAUUUACAUUUCAGAUAUAAAUAAUGAAAUUCUUUAAGUUACAUGUUUUAACUUUGCUUCACGAUUAUUCUACAUCUGCAAGCUUUCCUGUAUCAAACCAACCUCCUUCUUUCAUCAUGAAUGCACAAGUCUGGCCUCUAAUCAGUAAUAAUUACAUUAAGCCUUUAUGAUGAAAGGUUGACUGUUCAAGUAUCACAUCAUAUUGAUAUUUUUGCCCCAACUUAAAAAUUGGGGCAGCAAACCAAGCCACUUGGAAAUGGUAAUAAAAGAAAUUAAUCUGGGAACUCAAUGAGCCAAAUAAUUUAUUAUUAAAUUCUAUCAAUAUCUUUCUUUGGUAAGAAAUAUGCAAGAGGAUAACCCAAAGCCCACCCCC
This is a non-coding RNA of Cyanistes caeruleus (blue tit), 1789 nucleotides long. Lineage: Eukaryota; Metazoa; Chordata; Aves; Passeriformes; Paridae. The record is from RefSeq and is a predicted model, not a curated record.